CCUACGGUGGGCUGCAGUCGAGAAUCAUUCACAAUGGAGGAAACUCUGAUGGUGCGACGCCGCGUGGGGGAAUGAAGGUCUUCGGAUUGUAAACCCCUGUCAUGUGGGAGCAAAUUAAAAAGAUAGUACCACAAGAGGAAGAGACGGCUAACUCUGUGCCAGCAGCCGCGGUAAUACAGAGGUCUCAAGCGUUGUUCGGAAUCACUGGGCGUAAAGCGUGCGUAGGCUGUUUCGUAAGUGGUGUGUGAAAGGCGCGGGCUCAACCCGCGGACUGCACAUGAUACUGCGAGACUAGAGUAAUGGAGGGGUAAGCGGAAUUCUCGGUGUAGCAGUGAAAUGCGUAGAGAUCGAGAGGAACACUCGUGGCGAAGGCGGGUUCCUGGACAUCAACUGACGCUGAGGCACGAAGGCCAGGGGAGCGAAAGGGAUUAGAUACCCGUGUAGUC
Molecule: ribosomal RNA, 446 nt
Filed under: uncultured bacterium
Lineage: Bacteria
Description: partial 16S ribosomal RNA
Rfam family: Bacterial small subunit ribosomal RNA
Source: RNAcentral